GUCGCAUGACGCAGGGGUCAAAACUCCGGUGCCGUGAGAUGGGCCCGCGUCCCAUUAGCUAGUUGGCAGGGUAAAGGCCUACCAAGGCGACGAUGGGUAGCCGGUCUGAGAGGGCGAACGGCCACAUUGGAACUGAGACACGGUCCAAACUCCUACGGGAGGCAGCAGUGGGGAAUAUUGCGCAAUGGGGGAAACCCUGACGCAGCAAUACCGCGUGAGCGAAAAAGGUUUUCGGAUCGUAAAGCUCUGUUAUCG
Molecule: ribosomal RNA, 255 nt
Filed under: uncultured bacterium
Lineage: Bacteria
Description: partial 16S ribosomal RNA
Rfam family: Bacterial small subunit ribosomal RNA
Source: RNAcentral